This 23-nucleotide unclassified non-coding RNA is filed under the name Mus musculus (house mouse). RNAcentral describes it as "oocyte_clustered_small_RNA7165". The record is from RNAcentral. Lineage: Eukaryota; Metazoa; Chordata; Mammalia; Rodentia; Muridae.
UGUUACUAUGCUGCAAAGUUUAG